UACAGAGAGUGCAAACGUUGUUCGGAAUUACUGGGCUUAAAGCGCACGUAGGCGGCUCCGCAAGUGUCGGGUGAAAUCCCACGGCUUACCCGUGGAACUGCCCGGCAGACUGCGGAGCUCGAGGAUGGUAGGGGAGAGCGGAACUCCUGGUGGAGCGGUGAAAUGCGUAGAUAUCAGGAGGAACACCGGUGGCGAAGGCGGCUCUCUGGUCCAUUUCUGACGCUGAGGUGCGAAAGCGAGGGGAGCAAACGGG
RNAcentral lists this ribosomal RNA (253 nucleotides) under uncultured bacterium. RNAcentral's name for it is "partial 16S ribosomal RNA". It matches the Rfam family "Bacterial small subunit ribosomal RNA", at positions 524 to 776 of the family's 1533-position model. The record is from RNAcentral.